Long non-coding RNA from Acinonyx jubatus (cheetah), 3813 nucleotides. RefSeq lists it as uncharacterized. The record is from RefSeq and is a predicted model, not a curated record. NCBI's taxonomy places the organism in Eukaryota, Metazoa, Chordata, Mammalia, Carnivora, Felidae. The transcript has 7 exons.
CUCAAACCGGAAGUUUAUGUGGUUGCCUGGGAGACCGGACUUCGCCCUAGGGCUCGGGCAUCACACACAGCUGAGCCCACAGAGGCCCCGCGAGCGGGCGCCGCGUGGCGGAGUGAGCUGAAGCUGCAGCCUGGGACCCGAUCGAUCGUGAGGAAAGACGCGGCCACACUGUCCCGAGGAAAUGCGGACCGAGGUUUGCAAGCCACUUGUCAGAACAAAGCACUUAAGAAAUUUUACUGAUAUUGUGGCCCCCUUUACUACUUGGACUCCCUUGCCUUUCGAUCUCAGAAUCACCACUAGCUCCCUUCUGAUUAAGCAAGAAUUGAUUAAGCGGGGCUUUUAGUUGGACACUGAAAGCUGAGAUGCAGAUAGUGAUUCUGGAAGAGGGGUAGUAAUGCGCCCAAACGUGCCCAUCCUGGAACCCUUGGUCUACACAGGACCCACUAGGCACACCUACAGCGUACCAAGCUCGGUAGCUCACCUCAGGGCAGCCCCUCACAACCUAGUACACAUCAGGAUUACCUGAGGAGUUCCUGAAGCUGCAGACUGAGUGAAGGGAUACAGGAAUAGCAGUCUGGCCAAGCUCUCCAGAUGACUUUAAUACAAGUGGUCCACUGACCCCACAAUAAGAAACAUGCUCUUGAAAAAAGUUUCAAACUCCAGGCAUAUAAUCUGCGAUCCGGCCAAAGAGCAGCCGUCCGACUCCUGAAGUGAUGCCAAUGCACAUGAGAACCACCUCUUUAUUUUUUCCAUCUUGAAAUCUUUCAUUCACAUAUUUCAUCUGUGGACCAUCAAGAAAGAAGCAACACUAAAUACGGAGGACCUGAACCAAACUGACACUCCUGAAACAGCUGGAGUGGAGCUUCCAGGAUAAAGCAGAAGUACAUAAACAUCUUAUUUAAAAGUCACACUCUUCAGAGGAGCCAGGCUCAAGCCCUGGCCAUACCAGCUACCAGCCUUGCAUGAUUGCCUAUCUCACAGUGUGGCCCUGAGACUCCAGUGAAAGAUAACGUUUGUGGGAACUUCUUGUAUGUCAAACGUCAAUAAAAAGGGAAAUGAGUAAAUGUUGCAUUUGUUUAAGAAACUGGUGGUUUUAAGCAAAUCCUUCCAUGGCUGUGAGGACUGGACACGCUGAAUCCUAAACCACAUGAUCAGGAGCUCUGGACGCAGCAGCUGUUCCUGCCGUGUUACUCCAAGAAUGAAUCUGUUCAAUUAGACAUGGGUGCAGACACAGCUGGCCUGCGGACCUGCACACCAGCUGUCCAUGUUUGCAGUUCUGCCUCCACAUGGCAGGCACUGCCUACCAGUAAAUGGGCUUUUCUCCAGUUUGUUACAAAGGAAUAUAAACUUCCUGAUUAUGAGUGAGCUGUAAAAAACUAGAUACAGAUAACGGGGACAGAAAGCAGGAAAAGCAAAGGGGAAAUGGACAGUGGCAUGGGCAGUCCGGGGGCUAAUACAUAAGAGAUGUGCAUCCCUCAAACUUGCUUUGGGCACUAAAGACUCUUCCCUUCAGGACAAAUAUAUAACUAAGGCCUAUUCUGCUCUGUAAUCCUGGAGUUAGUGUCUACAAUGGCUUCUCCAAAAGAGAUGCUCCAGAAUUUGGAGAUAAGGAUAAAUUAGCAGAAAUGUACUCUCAAUGGAUCAGACAACUCUGUCCACCUGCCAGAAUCACCCAGUAAAUAUGGGGUAAAGCCAAUGUCCAAGUAUAGCCUCACAAAGGGAAGAUUCUGCAAAUAAUAUUUUUAUUUCUAUUCAUCUUCUAAUUGAUAUAAAAACCACAAUAGGACCCUCACCAGCUAAUUUAGGUCCUUCAAACUUCAACAAACUUUAAUUUGAUACUAAUCCAAGCAAUUGAGGGAUAAGCAAAUAUCCACAUAAUGGUUAAAUUUUGAAAUUAUUCAAAAGUAUAUUUUAGCAAAUAAAACCUGAGAUACUUAAAAAAACAAAAACCCUGGUGACACUAGACAUUAACAAGAGAGAGGGAACAGCUUUCCAACACCAGGACUCUUUAGGGCCUUCUCAGGACACUAAUGAUCAGUGAUGGAUGGAUACUUUAUAACUCUAAAAUAUAAGCAAUUUACUUUUUUUCCAUUUUCCUGUAAUAGUACUUAUGUUAACCAAAAGAGGCCGGAUCUUGUAAAUUUUUACAUUUGUCCAUUUUUUUCUUCUGCUAUGCUUCAUGUUUAUUGUAGAACUCAAAACCUAAUGCAAAACUGUGUAUAUUCCCUAUUCUGCUUGUCACAGGUUGUGAAAAGCGAUUCAGUUUUCUCAUAUUGACAAUGUAGUAGAGAUGAGAAGAGUUGACGUACGGCUGGAAAUACGGUUACAUGACACCCUCUCCUUUACAUCACAUCAGAACAGAAGCCUGUUUCCUCCAUGGUCCUGUCCAUGGCUGCACAGCAGGCUCUGAGAGCUGCACUGGCCCAGCAACGCCUCUGUUCUUAGUUCUGAGAAUGGAAGGGAAACUUCCAAGGCAAAGGAAACUUGGCCUGAUAACAGGCAGCACUCCAUCUGUGGGGUGACUUGAUGGAGGGACAGCAGACUCUUUCAUAAAAAGAACAUGAGACUUAGACUCCAACACUUGUGCUCAAAUCCCAGCUCUGAGCAUAACUCAGUGAGUGACGUUGAACUCAGCACAGUCAUUUCCUUAGCCCUAACUUUGUAAUUAAUUAUUACACUUGAUACACUCAUCCUUGUGAUGGUUAUGUGAGAUUUUGUGAAAAUGCCCGAUACAUUAUGGAUUCUCCCUGAAUCUCCCUCUGAGGAAGCCUCAAACUGAUGAAAGCAUGUAUGCUGUUCUUGUUUGCAUGGCUCAGCACCCUGAGGUCUGGUUUACAGAAUUCCUGCUUUCACAAUAUGAAGAGAAGGGCCCUAGCCAGUGAGGUCUAACAGUGACAUUUCUGUAUUGGCCCAUGAGAACAUCUGGCAUUAAUCAAAGCUAUAAAAUGUCUCUUGAGGUACUAUAUGCCCUGUUUAUUGGCAUAUUGGUCUCAAAAUUUCACUCCUAGUUUAAAAAUAUAAAUUGUUUGUCCCCAAUUACCACUGGACUUGGUGUCCACUUAAUUGUCCUGUCAGCAUGCAAAUGACUGUGUCUUUGAUCACAGUAUCAGAUACAUGGGUCUUUCUACAGAUCAAAGUUUCUUUUGAGAACAAUUACUUCCUGACACAAAACUGACACAUUCCUAUCUUAUCAUGAAGUUUUGAAAACAGGCUAAUCAACACAUAUAUUGCAGAUUACGACAUGAGUCAGUCAUCUUCUCCCUGAUAGAGAACUAUGUGGGUCGAAAGCUUAAACACUAAAACUCAACCCCACUACCAUGUUCUAGAGUCAAAGAACACAGGUACUAAAUAGCUGCUUUUCAAGAUGAGUAGUGGUGGAGAGAUGUGAAAGUAAUUAAAUCAUGAUCCUCGUAUUGAGGAUGGAGCACUUCAUGUUACCUAGAAAAGUUACAUUAUCAUUGUCAUUCUUAGGCAUUUAUCAGUCAUCUGACUGACGUGGCCCUGUGUCUUGCCAAAGCUACGUAGACCUGUGGUCAGACUAUGGCUCCUGCAUCCAACCCUGUUCCAACACGCACCACCCAAGGCUCUUUAAGAUUUUCGGUCACUACACAGUAGGGCAGACAGCAACUGUCUAGCUUUCCUAGUUAAUGGGGAUGGCUACCAAGCGUUCCUAUUCUCUCCUUCCACAUACUUACAGUAGUGACAAAGACACAGAAAUUUCUCCUAUUUAUCAAGUUAUAAUUUCAACAUAAUGCAUAUAAAGAUGUGGGUCAGGGCAAAACACAUAAAUUACUUUCUCUGUUAAAAUAUGGC